UACGGUGAAUACGUUCCCGGACCUUGUACACACCGCCCGUCAAGCCAUGGAAGCCGGGUGUACCUAAAGUCGAUAACCGUAAGGAGUCGCCUAGGGUAAAACUGGUGACUGGGGCU
This 116-nucleotide ribosomal RNA is filed under the name uncultured bacterium. RNAcentral describes it as "partial 16S ribosomal RNA". It matches the Rfam family "Bacterial small subunit ribosomal RNA", at positions 1358 to 1482 of the family's 1533-position model. The record is from RNAcentral.